GUCGGCCGAACAGGCGGAGAGGAAGAGGCCACAGAAGGAUUCUUGCAUCCAAAUGGUAUGUUCAUUUUUGCCAAUUCAUGAUCCAUCAUUACCUGACUCACAAUGUCCAGUGGACUCAGCUCACAGUGAUUGAUGAUUGAUCAAUAGCAACACGAUUUGAUUCUCAAUUUACAAGUUGAUUUCACCGCUAUGGAUUGGAUUAAUCUGAUUUUUGAUAUCUUGGUUUAGUGAGUUUCAGGUUCACGGUCUGGAUGGUGGAUUCGUUCUUCGAUGGCCAGACCAUCCAUGUCAAGCAGCGGCAUGAGAAGAGCUCCGGCGAGCUCAUCAUGUGCCGGUGCAUCUCACCUUCAAGCACAUGCUGCAGACUCCGACUGGUGUGGCUCCGUUCCUUCCCAGUCCUAUUUUUAUUUACUCUCCCUUGGUUACUGUUUGCCUCAAUCUUGAUUUGUUUUGUUGGUUCAUGUUGUUCAUUAGUUCUUUCUUUGCUGGAUGUUCGGCCCGCUGAUGCUGCAUGGAAGCAUUCAAAGUGAAAAAAAAUCUUCAUAUACCUUCCUGUAAGUGCAUCUCCCCUUCUUAAUUUGGGUUCUCUCGCUGUCCCGCUUACCUGUUCUGCUUCGCCCAUCAUUCAGAGUUAGGUUGGUUCAUGAGAUCAGAUAAUGUACUGCCAUUUAUUUUACCCAACUGCUACAUUCAAGAUCGAGGAGUACAAGUGUGUAUUGAUCUGAACACAAAGUGUUACAAUAGCUUAUCUCUGCAAGUGGAUAAGGUGGUCAUAUAUCAGCCUGCACUUUUGGACCAAAACACUUUUACAUGGGCUUCUUCGGAGGAAAAGGAAACCCCACCUGAACUUUUAGCUUUUUUUAUAUGUGAGAUCACUUGCUGAGUUUUCCCACAUGAUAGAUUUUCUUAUGAAUUCAUGGGAUUUUAGAUUUUAAUCAGGUCAUGCAGUUCUGAGUUUUAAUUCAUGUGCAAUAGUCAAAAUAUUGCAGGCUUGAACUGAGUAUUUACAUUUCAGUUAAAUUUUGUUCACCAAUGUCAGCCAAUGUGAGAGCAAAGUUUUCCUCCGAUUAUUCUAAAUUAUCCUUGGACUAUUCUGAAUCUGUAAAUGGAAGUUGAAUUCUGAAUACAUCUAUGCCAUCUAUAAAAUAAGAUGGCCUCGCGUGCCACUGUGCAACACCACGACGAUUAACAUCACCCAGUGAACACUGAACAAGCCUCGAAUCAAUAUGCAUUGGCGAUUUGUGGUUCUGUCCCGUUUAGUAGGGUUGCAUCUCUUCCAUAAUCUUUUGGUAAUUUUGUAGAUUAGGAAGUUUAAUUCUUUUCCGAUGAUAGUUUAAUAGUAGUCAAGAUAUGCGAUCUGCAUGUCCAUUUUACUGUAUAUAUCUGUUUUUACACUUCUAUUAUAGGUGUGGGAGUAUUAUGCCGAGCCUCCCCAGCAAGGUUUUCAAUAUUAAGGGGGAAAUUUGAAGGUGUAUAAGGUAAAGAGACAGAGCUCUAGAUACAUUUACUAAUAAAUUUUCUUUAUACCUUGCAUUAUAAUUACAUAUGGGAAAUACAGAUGAGGUGCCUGAUGUCAGCUACAAUCACAGAUCUAAGAAUAUGUGUUCAUCUGGAAGCCUAUAGACAGAAAUAUGUGUUCAUCUGGAAGCCCAUAGACGCUAAACAAUAUUUUAGUGAUCUUGGAUGCUAUCACCUACAUAGACUAUUUUCCCGUAAUAGUGUGCUUCCAGUUUGUUUGGUUCAUGGACGGUCCGAUGGCAUUUCACCUAGCUCUUCCAGUUUGUUGGUUCAUGGACGGCCAGAUGGUAUCUCCCCUAGCUAACCUGCUUUAAAGUAUCCGGUUGCUAAACCGGCAAAUACUUCUGCAAUUUUCGCUAGCACUAUAUAAUACAUCAAUUGGUUUCUUAUUGUUGAAAUUUUAAGAUCUACAAAUUAGAAGAAUUGUCUUUUUUUAUAGGAUGCCUGUUUUGUGUUGCAAAAUUAGAAGUAUUUUCUAAUGUGGUGCAAAAUUUUGUGUUGUUCUUAUGGCCCAUGGUCCUACGUAAAGUAUUCCAAUACAUUUCCACAAAUCAGUUUUUUAUUUAUUUUUCACGUAACACAUGUUCAUGUCCAAUCAGGGAUGGGUUCAAGCGGUGCUGGGACAUGUAUAGAGAAGGAGCUCAUUAUAUAUGGAGACAAGUUUUGAAUUGGGGCGUGUUGCUUCCUACCUGAUGGUGUAGACGUUAGAUGAGGGAUCUACAUAUAAGUAGAAUGUCACAUAUAUGGAUGUUGUAUCUUGGACGAUUCAUAGAAAAGAAGCCAAAGAACGAUUCAUCAGUUGCAUAUCUUUUUUACCUUCUACAUGUUAUUUUUUUCUCCAUAAGUUGGUCUGCACUUCAAAAAA
RNAcentral lists this long non-coding RNA (2383 nucleotides) under Triticum aestivum (bread wheat). RNAcentral describes it as "long non-coding RNA (TAES_LNC010135)". Lineage: Eukaryota; Viridiplantae; Streptophyta; Magnoliopsida; Poales; Poaceae. The record is from RNAcentral.